AGGUGUAGCUCCACUUGGCAGAGCAGCGGAUUCCAAAUCCGCGUGUUGGGAGUUCGAAUCUCUCCACCUGCCA
This 73-nucleotide transfer RNA is filed under the name Vibrio cholerae. RNAcentral describes it as "tRNA-Trp". It matches the Rfam family "tRNA". Rfam says of the family: Transfer RNA (tRNA) molecules are approximately 80 nucleotides in length. Their secondary structure includes four short double-helical elements and three loops (D, anti-codon, and T loops). Lineage: Bacteria; Pseudomonadati; Pseudomonadota; Gammaproteobacteria; Vibrionales; Vibrionaceae. The record is from RNAcentral.